UACGGGGGGUGCGAGCGUUGUCCGGAAUCACUGGGCGUAAAGGGCGCGUAGGUGGCCUGAUAAGGGUGUGGUGAAAGUCCGGGGCUCAACCCCGGAUCGGCCGUGCCGACUGUUAGGCUAGAGUACUGUAGGGGCAGGCGGAAUUCCGGGUGUAGCGGUGGAAUGCGUAGAGAUCCGGAGGAAGACCGGUGGCGAAGGCGGCCUGCUGGGCAGUUACUGACACUGAGGCGCGACAGCGUGGGGGAGCAAACAGGG
Molecule: ribosomal RNA, 255 nt
Filed under: uncultured bacterium
Lineage: Bacteria
Description: partial 16S ribosomal RNA
Rfam family: Bacterial small subunit ribosomal RNA
Source: RNAcentral